RNAcentral lists this ribosomal RNA (465 nucleotides) under uncultured bacterium. RNAcentral describes it as "partial 16S ribosomal RNA". It matches the Rfam family "Bacterial small subunit ribosomal RNA", at positions 339 to 795 of the family's 1533-position model. The record is from RNAcentral.
CUACGGGUUGCAGCAGUGAGGAAUAUUGCGCAAUGGGGGAAACCCUGACGCAGCGACGCCGCGUGGAUGAUGAAGGCCUUAGGGUCGUAAAAUCCUGUCAGGUGGGAAGAAGUGGAUAUAGAUUAAUACUCUAUUUCUUUGACGGUACCACCAAAGGAAGCACCGGCUAACUCCGUGCCAGCAGCCGCGGUAAUACGGAGGGUGCAAGCGUUGUCCGGAUUCACUGGGCGUAAAGCGCGCGUAGGCGGCUAUUUAAGUCAUCUGUGAAAGCCCGGGGCUCAACUCCGGGACUGCAGGCGAAACUGAAUGGCUAGAGCUCGGUAGAGGCGAGUAGAAUUCCCGGUGUAGCGGUGGAAUGCGUAGAUAUCGGGAAGAAUACCAGUGGCGAAGGCGGCUCGCUGGGCCGAAGCUGACGCUGAGGUGCGAAAGCGUGGGGAGCAAACAGGAUUAGAUACCCGCGUAGUC